Chiloscyllium plagiosum (whitespotted bambooshark) is the source of this 599-nucleotide non-coding RNA. NCBI's taxonomy places the organism in Eukaryota, Metazoa, Chordata, Chondrichthyes, Orectolobiformes, Hemiscylliidae. The record is from RefSeq and is a predicted model, not a curated record.
CUGGAGGGUCACUGAAGGUGUUACCUAAUAUGGUGAUGGAAUGUUUGAUAAUGAACUGCAGAUCUCUUCACCGGGAAAUGCGUGGCUGAGAACAAGUUGUGUUGUGGUUACACACGGCAGUGGAAAUGCAGAAUGCGCAUCAGCACCUUCCAAAUCCAUGACCUCUACCAACUCGAAUGGCAAAGUCAGUUGAUGCAGAGAAAAACCAUCUGCAGCAGGCUUCCCUUCCAGUUAAACACUAUGCUGCCAUGAAAAUAUAUGACUGUUUCUUUACGAUCUCUGAGUUAAAGUAAUGAAAAUUGCAUUGAACAGCACUGCGAGUAUGUUUACAAUCUAUCUUCGUAUCUGAAGUAUCUAAUUUCUGGAACCACUAUCACAAACAAGCAUAAACUGAAGCACAAUAUUGUUCACGUUCCACUUGAAUGUCUUUCCAACCUUCAUCUGACCUUAUCAGCAUAUCUUUCCAAUACAUAUAAAACGUAUGUAGUUAUUCUUGAAAUGAAUAAAAAUUCUGAACUGGACCAGAACUCUUAAUUCUGUGAAGAUCCACAAUAAUGUAUGAUAGUAAUAAUACUCAAUAUGCAUCUGUUUGGGAGGGC